Molecule: long non-coding RNA, 5242 nt
Filed under: Homo sapiens (human)
Lineage: Eukaryota; Metazoa; Chordata; Mammalia; Primates; Hominidae
Description: HSALNT0149036
Source: RNAcentral
UUGUUAGCCAGGAUGGUCUCGAUCUCCUGACCUCAUGGUCCACCCGCCUCAGCCUCCCAAAGUGCUGGGAUUACAGGCGUGAGCCACCGCGCCCGGCCUAGAUCUUUUAUUUAGACGAUGAGAAAAUUUAAACUAUAAAUAGGCCAGGUCUGGUGGCUUAUGCCUGGAAUCCCAGCAUUUUGGGAGGCUGAGGUGGGAGGCUCACUGGAGGCCAGGAGUUCAAAACCAGCCUGAGCAACAUAGGGAGACCUCAGCUCUACAACUGAAAAAAAAAUAGCCAGGUGUGUUCAUGGUGGCACCUGUCUGUAUUCCAGCCACUUGGGAGGCUGAGGCAGGAGGUUUGCUUGAGUCCAGGAGUUUGAGGUUGCGGUGAGCUACACAAUGAGCUAUGGUGGCACUACUACACUCCAGCCUGGGCCAUAGAGUAAGGCCCUGUCUCUAACUGGAAGUCCAAAGAGGGAUCUACUUCCUAGACUAUUAAUUUAAUAGAUCAAUAAAUUAAUCAAGAAUAUGAUUUUUUUCUCAUCUUUCUCUGUAGUCAUAUUUUAUACAGACUUUUUGUUUAAGUAAUCUCUCUUUAUGGGCAGACAAUGAUUUCAGAAACACCACAAAUUAUUCUCAAAGAGAAAAGAUGAGGAUUUUUUUUUUUUUUUAGAAAAUGUAACUCUUUUCAGUAGCUCUUGGCAGACCUACCUUCACAUUUUCUUGACUAAAAACAGUCAUUAAAAAAAGUCAGUCACAAACAGGUGAAUUUAAAUUAUCAUGGUUUACCUAUGCUUAACAAGCUUUAUCCUCAGAGGUAAGGAUAGGGUUACUUUCCUGAAUUUUAGAUAUGUGGAAAUAUUUGGAGUUAUGUCAAUAAAUGAAAAAGUGUGAUGGAUAUAGUGCUUGCCAUGGAAUAUACCAAAUACAGAUAUUCUGAAAACUUUAAGUUCAGUAAUAUGCCAGGGGUUCCCAAGACCACUUGAGACCUGGUAAUUUAUUGGAAGUCUCUAAGGGAAUCAGAAGCUGUAGUACUCAUUGUUACAGUAUAUUACAGUAAAAACAGUACAGAUAGAAGUCAGCUAAGAGAAAAGACAAAUGAAGUGAACUCCAGGAGAAACCAAGUCCAAGCUCUCAGGUGUCCCCUCCCAGAGCAGUUGCAUGGGGACAUGUUUAAUUAUCCCAGCAACAAUAUGUAAAGUACAAAGCAUUGCCAACCAGGAACACUCGCUGGAGUCUAGUUGUCGAAGGUGUUUACUGGGAUCAGUCACAUAGUCAUGUAAUGCCCAUAUGAUUGACCUCAGCUCCAUGACAUUUAAGCACAACUUUCUUCCUACACCCAGAGUAAAAACAGAUGUUCACAUAAGUCACGUUGAUAACAUAACCUUUUCUGGUCCAACUGGGAGAGUAUGGCCCAAGACUUUAGGAAAACAAGAACACUUUUAUCAAGCAAAAUACUCCAAGGGCUCAGAGAUGAACUCCUAGUCUAAGGUCUAGUCCUGCAGAGGGACCCCUCUUUGGAAUGUAUAGUAUUUGAGUAAUUCAGGCCAGUCAAGUUAAACCUUUUCACCCAUGCCUAAAUGCUAUUUAAUAAAUGUAAAUAACAACGAUGAGAUAGUUUAUUAAACAUUUUUAUUGAAAUACACAAAUAGUAUAUAGUUAAUUAAUUUUAACAAAGUGAUUGUACAUAUUUCACAAUAAAAUUCCCUUAAAUUACCAUCUGCUCUAUCUGCAAGUAAUUAUUAUUCUGAUUGCUAAUAACAUAGACUUUUUUUAACCUAUUUUUGAACUUUUAUAAUAGAAUUAAACAAUAUAUAUUCUUUUCUGGAUGGCUUCUGUUACUCAGAAAUAUAUUUAGGAGAGUCAUCAAAGCUCUCUUGGGUAUACCAUUUAUCCUUCUUGCUUGAUAAUGCUCCAUGUAUGUAUAUAUAUGCUAUGAUGUGUUUAUUUUACUCUUGAUGGAUAACUGCAAAACUUCCAAUUUAAGCUGUUGUGAAUAAUUCUUUAAUAAAAAAUUUUGUACAUUUGCUGAAUAUGUUUAUGUGUUCCUGUUGGAUGAUAGUAGCAGAAUUAUUGGUCACAGGGUAUGCAUAUACUUAAUUUUAACAGAUAAGGUCAAAUACUUUCCAAAUUCAUUUUAACAAUUACAGUCAACCUGCAUUGUUUUAGAGCCCCGAUUGCAGGGUCAUUUUGGAUUAGUUUGUCUUUCUCUUAUUGAUUUUAAUGGAUAGUGUUAGGCUGUAAAUAAAGUUAUUUAUGCAUAGUAAGAACUUUCUCAACAAAUUUUACUCAGACUUCUGCUCUACGCUAAGAACUAGCUCUGGAAAUUAAUUCACAGAAAGAACAUGGUUAGGGGCCAUCCUGAGGGAUUUACCUCACUAGGGAUAUAUAUUUACAUUUCAAGAGAAGAUGAGACCCAGUAGAUGCAUCCCAGAAGUUACAAAGCUGGAGACUCUAGUGUUAUCUUUCCCCUAGAGUGAUUUAUUUUUAUCCAAAUGGUUAGAGUAAGAACUCAGAUUUUUUUCCAUUUUGUGACUAUGGAGACGCACUCAGAAGGGGGUCAGAGCAACUGGGUCACUCUUCCACAAAAAUGCUCAGGUUCUUUUUUCCAGAGUUCUUUGCCUACAGCAGAUCCCCUUACAUGUAGGACAUCUGGUUCUCACCACAUCACCACCACGGUAAGAAUUAGUGGAAAGGAGAGCUAGGUUAAGGGCAGCUGUUUCUUUCCUUCUCUGCAGCCUCUGGUACCAAGUACUGCAUGACAUGUGUCUCACAACAUUCCUGCCUCUGCACCUCUGUGCUACGACACUGGAUGAAUCUAUGGAGUGAGCAAUAGAAAGUCUCUGAACUGCCAGAAACAAAUUCAUUUUACAUGGAAGUGGCUUUAAAUCAAGCACAUUAACCUCAAUGAACUGAAAUUAAAUAUGUCUCUCUUCAACUUCCCCUUAGCUGAAUACUAAAAGUGCUGUAGGCUGGACCCGCACUACCUGACAGGGAGAUAAAUGACUAAAGGCAAAUGGGAGUCAAAACAGGCCUGGAAGUGGAAAUACCGUGACAUAAAAUAGAGGCACAGCAAAUUAUUCAAGAUGUCGACAAACAGCAUUGUUUCCAAGUUUUUGUUCCCUUACAAUCCUUGCCAUUGGCCAAUCUCUCAAAAUCCCGUGUUGCUUAACAUUUAGUAGCUUAGUAAAUAUUUUAAAUCUCAGAGAUUUUACCUAACUGAUACCAGGGUUUUUAAAAUUUGUUUAUAUAGAUUAAGCGUCUUUGAAGAAAUAACAGUAUGCAAAAAAUAUGGUUGCUAUUCUUCAUGUUAAAACUAUCUUAAACUCUUUUCCAGAGGAAAAAAUAACAAAAUAGAAACCAAGGAAGGUCUUUUGCUUGGUGAUUACAUAUAUUGAUUACCUGUGUAAGUUAAACAGAUUGGGAAAAGGAAAUAUCCAAAAUUGUGCCUAGAGUAUAUCAUGACAUCAUGUAUAUAUGUAAAUAAGUUAAUUUUUGCAAUCGCAACAUAGAGAAAAAUGUUAUUUUAAAUGAAUAAAAAUAAAUAGAACAUAAAGUAAUAUUUCAGCAUAUUAAAUUUAGGAGUAAAAACCUUUGACAUCCCUGAAAAUCUUUGGUAAAAAGUCCAGAUUAUGAUAACUUGGCUUUAAUGAACUAGGAAAUAGAUGGAUAAUAGCACACACAUUUUUAGCAUUGUAGGGAUUAUUUUCACUGGUUGUAGGAUCAACACACUUGGUUUAAAUAAUGGUUCUGAGAAUUUAAUUAAUUAAUUAAUUUAAUUCAUUUUUGUUAGGAAAAUAAAUUCAUUUCUAGACACAGGAUAUUUUACAAUUGGAUCGUAUUUCAAAAAAGAAUCACUGUGUUUUUAAUGAACAAAUGUCACAUAAAGAAGUCUUUUCAAAAAGUGCUUCAAAAACUUAAAUUUGAAAUAUAUGCAACGGAUCCACAAGGUAUCUAAUAAUUUUUAUUUUUACCAAGCUCAUGAGUAAGUUAGUUAGCCCUGAAACAGUUUCGGAGAAAAAAAAAAGUGUUUUAGUUUCUUCAUCUGUAAAAUAUUUAUGUUGCAAAUGAUUGAGCAAAUAUAUAAAUUUAAGCAGUUUGAUCCUAGAACUUGUUGUGUUUAAGAAUAUGGAUUAUUGAGAAGUACUUCACCAUAGUAUUUAUCACAUAGUAUGUCCUAAUUGAAGAUUAAGUAUGGUUGUAAUCAUAAUAAAGUAUUUUGAAAAUUCUUUUGAAAACUGUUUUAAUGAAUUAUAGAUUGAACACUGAGUUAAGAUGGAGUUAUCCAUGAUCUUUAAGACAGCAAAAUUAGGUCUUGAAGUUAAAAUUGAAAUGAAUAUAAUGCACAUAUAUUGAUUUUAUGUCGAUGUUUUAUAAUCAAAUCUGAUUAGAAAAAGGAAAUUGGUAUAAAGGUUCUCCACAUCUUCUCAGUCACCCUACUUCAUUUUCUAAGGGAAUUACAUUACGUACUUUUAUUUUAUUUCUUGUUAUAUAGCUGUAUCCUUUCCUUGAUUUCUUGGCUUGCUUCUGCUCUCUUCUGCUAUGCCUAUCCAUCAGUUUCCAGAGCUCAGAAAAACAGUUUUUAACAGCCUAAUAUAUGUAUUUGGCAAUUUCCUCCCAUAACUGUGAUUUAAUAUUCAUGGCCACAUAAAGGGUAUAAAAUAUUUUGCACUCGGUGUAUACACAUUUUCUUUAUAUCACUUUAUCUUUCAUCAAUAACUCAAUGGAAAUCCCGUUAAGAGAAUAUGAAUAGCUCUAGUUGGUAUUCAAUGUCUGCCUAACAUUUCAUGUUGACAAAUUAUCAUAAACUAUUCAAUAGAAGAAUUUUACUAACAAUAUAUCGUUAACAUUCUAAAAUAUUUUUGUAUAAUCUAGACUUUGGUGGGAACAAACCUUGGAACAAACUGGUUCCAAGGUUUCUUGGAGGGGAGUGGUGAAAAAGAAAUGGGGAAAUUUAUGUUUUUUGAAUUUGUCAACUUAUUGAGGAGGGGUAAGUAGAGAAAUUGACUAAUUUGCUAAGACAAUAGAAGGCAUCUUUAUUUCAAAUAGUACUUGAAAAUUAUGCAUCUAAUUGUGAGGUCAAAAAAUUGAAGAUACCCCUUAAUAAAGAAAUAAAGGAUAGAUCUUCCAAAAUAACAAGGAUGUAGUGGAAUGAAUAAAAAUGUAUCAAGUCAGCAGCAAUAAGGUAAAAAUAUUAGAAAAGUAAUGUUAAAUAGUUGUCAGAUGGAAGGAUAUAUUUGAGCAAAUAUUUUGUUAAAUA